GAGUUUGAUCUUGGCUCAGAAUGAACGCUGGCGGCAUGCCUAACACAUGCAAGUCGAACGAAGGCUUCGGCCUUAGUGGCGCACGGGUGCGUAACGCGUGGGAAUCUGCCCUUGGGUUCGGAAUAACUCAGAGAAAUUUGAGCUAAUACCGGAUGAUGUCGAAAGACCAAAGAUUUAUCGCCCAAGGAUGAGCCCGCGUAGGAUUAGCUAGUUGGUGAGGUAAAGGCUCACCAAGGCGACGAUCCUUAGCUGGUCUGAGAGGAUGAUCAGCCACACUGGGACUGAGACACGGCCCAGACUCCUACGGGAGGCAGCAGUGGGGAAUAUUGGACAAUGGGCGAAAGCCUGAUCCAGCAAUGCCGCGUGAGUGAUGAAGGCCUUAGGGUUGUAAAGCUCUUUUACCCGGGAUGAUAAUGACAGUACCGGGAGAAUAAGCUCCGGCUAACUUCGUGCCAGCAGCCGCCGU
This 466-nucleotide ribosomal RNA is filed under the name uncultured Alphaproteobacteria bacterium. RNAcentral describes it as "bacterial SSU rRNA". It matches the Rfam family "Bacterial small subunit ribosomal RNA", at positions 9 to 521 of the family's 1533-position model. The record is from RNAcentral. Lineage: Bacteria; Pseudomonadati; Pseudomonadota; Alphaproteobacteria.